GUUGACCUCGGAUCAGGUAGGGAUACCCGCUGAACUUAAGCAUAUCAAUAAGCGGAGGAAAAGAAACCAACAGGGAUUGCCCUAGUAACGGCGAGUGAAGCGGCAACAGCUCAAAUUUGAAAUCUGGCGCAAGCCCGAGUUGUAAUUUGUAGAGGAUGCUUCUGGGCAGCGGCCGGUCUAAGUCCCUUGGAACAGGGCGUCAUAGAGGGUGAGAAUCCCGUAUGCGACCGGCUGGCACCCGUCACGUAGCUCCUUCGACGAGUCGAGUUGUUUGGGAAUGCAGCUCUAAAUGGGAGGUAAAUUCCUUCUAAAGCUAAAUACCGGCCAGUGACCGAUAGCGCACAAGUAGAGUGAUCGAAAGAUGAAAAGCACUUUGGAAAGAGAGUUAAAAAGCACGUGAAAUUGUUGAAAGGGAAGCGCAUGCAACCAGACUUGCGGGCGGUGUUCCGCCGGUCUUCUGACCGGUCUACUCGCCGCUCGCAGGCCAGCAUCAUCUGGGUGCGCCGGAUAAAGGCGUGGGGAAUGUGGCCCCUCGGGGUGUUAUAGCUCCACGCACAAUACGGCGCCGCCCGGGUGAGGUCCGCGCUUCGGCUAGGAUGCUGGCGUAAUGGUUGCCUGCGACCCGUCUUGAAACACGGACCAAGGAGUCUAACAUCUAUGCGAGUGUUCGGGUGUCAAACCCCUACGCGGAAUGAAAGUGAACGGAGGUGGGAAGCUUCGGCUGCACCAUCGACCGAUCCUGAUGUCCUCGGAUGGAUUUGAGUAAGAGCAUAGCUGUUGGGACCCGAAAGAUGGUGAACUAUGCCUGAAUAGGGUGAAGCCAGAGGAAACUCUGGUGGAGGCUCGCAGCGGUUCUGACGUGCAAAUCGAUCGUCAAAUUUGGGUAUAGGGGCGAAAGACUAAUCGAACCAUCUAGUAGCUGGUUCCUGCCG
Molecule: ribosomal RNA, 932 nt
Filed under: Parateratosphaeria altensteinii
Lineage: Eukaryota; Fungi; Ascomycota; Dothideomycetes; Mycosphaerellales; Teratosphaeriaceae
Description: eukaryotic LSU rRNA
Rfam family: Eukaryotic large subunit ribosomal RNA
Source: RNAcentral